CCUACGGGAUGCUGCAGUGGGGAAUAUUGGACAAUGGGCGAAAGCCUGAUCCAGCCAUGCCGCGUGUGUGAAGAAGGCCUUCGGGUUGUAAAGCACUUUCAGUGGGGAAGAAAGCCUUGGGGCUAAUACCCUCGAGGAAGGACAUCACCCACAGAAGAAGCACCGGCUAACUCCGUGCCAGCAGCCGCGGUAAUACGGAGGGUGCGAGCGUUAAUCGGAAUUACUGGGCGUAAAGCGCGCGUAGGCGGUCUGAUAAGCCGGUUGUGAAAGCCCCGGGCUCAACCUGGGAACGGCAUCCGGAACGGUCAGGCUAGAGUGCAGGAGAGGAAGGUAGAAUUCCCGGUGUAGCGGUGAAAUGCGUAGAGAUCGGGAGGAAUACCAGUGGCGAAGGCGGCCUUCUGGACUGACACUGACGCUGAGGUGCGAAAGCGUGGGUAGCAAACAGGAGUAGAUACCCCUGUAGUC
RNAcentral lists this ribosomal RNA (465 nucleotides) under Vreelandella stevensii. Its description in RNAcentral is "partial 16S ribosomal RNA". It matches the Rfam family "Bacterial small subunit ribosomal RNA", at positions 338 to 795 of the family's 1533-position model. Lineage: Bacteria; Pseudomonadati; Pseudomonadota; Gammaproteobacteria; Oceanospirillales; Halomonadaceae. The record is from RNAcentral.